This is a long non-coding RNA of Columba livia (rock pigeon), 6842 nucleotides long. RefSeq lists it as uncharacterized. NCBI's taxonomy places the organism in Eukaryota, Metazoa, Chordata, Aves, Columbiformes, Columbidae. The record is from RefSeq and is a predicted model, not a curated record. The transcript is spliced from 2 exons.
UGAAGAUGCAAAGACCCCGGUCUUUGUGACCCCGGGUCACAGAUCCCGGUGAAAUUGUUCAUCUCACAUCUCAAAAGAGACCCUGGCUUCAGCAUCAGCAAAGGGAUUGCUGGGGGGAGGACGAUUCCCUAUCACAUUUUGCUGACUGAUGCUCCAGCUCUCUCUUUCUCUGCUGACGGUCCAGAUAAAUAAACCUGAGCUGGGCACUUUCCGGCUGCCAUGCCAAGCAGAGCCCAGGUGAAGAGCCAAUUGAAACCCAAGCUGUUUCAGGGCAUGAAGUUAAGUAAGAAGUGCUAUACUGGUUCAAGACUGCUCUCCACAGAGCUAAGAAGGGCAUUGCUGCCUCCCUAAUUGUGUGGCCAGCCUUUGCACAGCUUCAAGCAUUUUCUGUGACUGGGAGAAAACAGCAUCAGUCUCCAUGGGACCAGCCAGGGAGAGGAAAAAAUAGUAUGCAAUAUUUUUGGUUUUUCCCCAAUGCCACAGCCCAGCCUUGAGAAGAGGAGGAAAGGGCAAGGAAAGGCAUCCAAGGCUGGGAAAGGACUAGACGUGGGGCAGGUGGAGGAGCUGUGCCACCGGGCUUGCUUGUGCUGUGCCAGCCUGCAGCAAGGCACCAUGGUGGACAUGGGUUGGGGACAACACACUGCGGACUUCAGAGUAACACAAAUUCCUCGACUUCAGCAAUAAAAGAAACAAGUGUGGCAUGGCGUGUCCCUAGGGAUAGUGCCCAAAGGACAGCACUUGCUGGCUGGGUCAGCAGCGGGAGCUUGCCUGUGUCAAGGGUGAUGCAAAGAGGAGACAGCAGCCCUGGGGGACUGGACACGCUGCUUCUCCCUGUGUGGCUGCAAAGGAGAGCUUGACAUGUAUUGUUUCUGGAAGGGAACAACCUCAAUUCCCACAGGUGCUGUGGCACACUUUGCAACCUACUGCGGACCUGCAGACCUCCAUCUUCUGCUACCCCAGCCCCUCUUGGGGCACUGGGAUCUCCUUCUGCUGAUGCUGUGCCACUGGGUAGUGACAAAUGCGAGGGACACCCUGCAAGCGAGAAGGCUUCCAGCUCAGGCAAGCAAGAGCCUGAUGUGCAGCCACAUCUUUUGGGGAGCUUCUGAGGGCUACCUAUUUGUCACUGAGCUCCAAAACUCUGAGGGUUCAGUGCCUGAUGACUGCUUUCACACAAGGUAUGAGCUGGGUUUUUUUAGCCUUCUGGUACCUGUGUAACCUUCAGGUUUAAACUCAAGCUCAUCUUCUGCAGGAGGAUGUUGGAUGUGGAUGGGGACAAGGAUGUGGAUGUCUCUGGCUGCCUUUUUUUUUUUUUUUUUUAACUUUUCCAAAAAAGCCAUAUUCUGGCAAUGCCACAAUGUGGGGUCCCACAGCCACAGUUGAAGGAGUUUACUGAAAGCAACGGACUGGGGCUGAAGUGGUCAGCAAUGCCAGGAAUGAGACAUAUCUGCCUUUUCCCAGCAAAAGCCUUCUAGGCAGAUAAAGAAUUUGGCCAGUGAAAACAUUGCCAUGACCCUUUGGCACUGCGGAUUGUGCUGUAGGUCUUCAAAGCAAAACUGUCUCAAGGCAAGAUAGGCUAAUUGAAUUUUUCCUAUGGCUGGCUGGCUGGAGGGCUGGUUGCUCAUGUCAUGGAAAUGGGAAGUCUUCUAGCAGCAAAGGUGCAAAGGGAAUGAUACUAAGGAGAGGGAAGCCACAUUUUCCACGAUCCUCCCCCAGGAGAUGCUGCCUGGAGCCACAACCCUUUCUCUGCCCAGCCCUAUAGGUGCCUCUGCUUUGAGGUUUUUCACUAAGGGUUGCUAUAGGAACGUAAAUACUUCUGUGCAUCCAAGCCUGAGCAGCUCUCUGCUCCCACUCCCCGUUGCUAGCAUGGGGCUGGCAGUGCCGGCGCUCUGAGGACAGUGGAGGAUGCUCAGAGCAGGGUGGCUUAGACACUGCCUCGCAGACCUGACAGCCAUCCUAGCGCUGUUGGCAAAGAAGGGCUGAGGCAGCUCAGCCAGCCCCUGGGAAACGAUCCUGUUUACGGUUCAUCACCAUCUGAUCUCCCCACUGCUUCUUGCUCCUGCCUGGGCCCAAAUGAGCUGCCACGGUGCCGGGCCGGGCAGGGAGAUGCCGUCCAGCCCGCUCGCUCCCGCUCUCCCGCCACCGCCACCCCGCCCGCGGCUGCUGAGGGAAGCGUGACUCACAUGUGCCUCCCACCCAUGAGUAAGUGUUGGUCUAUCACGUCUCAGCCAGCUGGGGCAGCUCGGAGGGAGGGCGGCUGCUUCCCUGGCGAGGCAUGAAAUCGGUCACUCCAUCCCCAGGACACGGGUGAAACAGGGGCACAAGGCUGCAAGACAUGGCAGCUUUGAGCAGCCUCACAUGACGUGCUGGGCUGUGCCCCGCGAGUGGGGCAGGGGAGGAGGUACGUGUGGCAGCAGACAUGGGGUGCAGCCGUUCCUACUAAACACCGAUGUGAGUUCUUCCUUCUUCCUUAACCAAACCCACUCUUUUACCUGGGAAAUGCACGGGGCCAGUCUGAAGUCGGUGAUGGAAAAUGGGAGAGUGGGAACAUGAGGGGUGGAAACACCGAGUAGUUAAGUGCUUCUCGGGGUGGAAAGAGGUUAUUAAAUAGCAAGUAAUUUUAGCAUGAGUUAUAAUAUUAGUUGUUUUUACUGGGAAGUGGUGCCUAGGGGCUCCCAUUGCACUAAUCAUGUAACAAAGCCAUGUUCCUAACACAAAUAGCUUGUGUUUCAGCCUGGAGAGAACAAGUCGUCUCCUUCCCAUUACCCCUCCUUUGAAAAAACACUAUGAAGAUUGCACAGUCGAGCCCACAAAAACUGGGAAAGGAAAAAAAUGACAUUGGGCUGUCACCCAGCCAGCCCAGUAACUCCCUCAGCACCUUGGGUCCCCACUGCCUGCUCUUCCCCUCAGCAGGCCUGGCCUCAGCAUUAUUGGUGAUUUUUGUGUUGCCCUUGUAUUUGUUGUUUGGGUGUAUUAGCAUCACAUCACCUAUUUAGGACAGGGGGGGACUGUGGGUUGGGUUGUUUCCUGCCUCACUGACUGGUUUUGUGUAUGGUGCCAUGUAUUUCUGUUGUAUUUUUCAGGCUUUAAACUGCAGUCCGCUUGGGUACAUGCCCCUCUGAAGUCAGAAACCAAUUUAAUGAAUUCAAUUAAUUAAUUUACAGCCUUGGCACUAAAGCAUAGACUAAAGGUCAACAGCAUCCGCUAAUUUUGGAUGAUAAAAACCAUGACUGCCCUGCUAUUUCUUGUUUUCCCGAGGACUUGGCGUUAUUUUAUCGCAUGGAAACAUGUGUCCUCCUGCCCCCAGCUGCAGCUUUGCACUCGCGGCAAUUAAUUGGCCUCACCCCGAGUCAGGCUGGAGGCCAGAAAAAAUGCCCUGCAGCCCCAGCCCUUCCUUUUGCACAGGUGCUUUUGCAAGGUGAGCACUGCCUGGCCUUGCACCGCCUGGCAGCAGCUUCAUCUGUGCCCUCAACACAGCAAACAACUGUGGUGGCAAAUGGGCCAGGGUCCCUGUGGUGUCUCCUGCCCUCUCGACAAUCAUCCAGCUGGAUGUAGAACGAGCUGGUGGAGGGGACACAACCAAAUAACGAACAUGCGAGGAUGGUCCAAGGCGGUAAUGUGAUGCCACGGUGCAAGGAGCUGGCACUCCAGAUGCGUGGGCUCCCUUUUUGGACCAGGUGUGCGACACUACUGAUGCUUGUUUAGCAUGAUGCUCUGCACCCAUGCACGCAUGUGCGCAUGUCUGUACUAUGUUCGUGUUUUAGAAGUGCAAGUCCUGCAUCAGCCACUAGCAGCAAGGGGCUGCUGGUGGGGCUUGGAAAUGCUGUGUUAACCUCUGAGCACAUACGUGCUCUCUGGUCGGCAUGGAUCCUGCUGCUUAUGCCCCACCCCAAAUCCCAUAGGUCUGCUCAUUUCCCCACUGCUGUGUUGUGUCCUUGUCUGAGGUUCGUCUCAUCGGUGCCUCUGACCUCCUGUUGGUGGAGGAAGCCAGGCAGAAGCCACUGUCACCCCGCCGCAGUCAGCUGCUGCUGGAGCACUACCAGGCUCUGGGAAGAUUUUGGGAUUGCAGCACAUGAGAUAAGGCAUCAUGGACACCAUCAAGCACCCUGUCCUGCUGCAGGGUCUCCUACACCCCUACCAGACCCCUCUCAGGCCUCUCCUCCUGCCUCACAGCCUUCUCAGCUGGGCAAGUUACAACUCUCCCUUCCACCCUUUGUCCCUCACAAAUCUUAAGCUCUGUGCUAAAUGACAAAAGUUUAAUAAGGGCUGAAGGGUGAGCCCCUCUCCUUCUCCCCACCGCCCCCCAAAAAAGGUAAGUUAACAUAUGCAAAAACCAAUGUGAAUUUACUUGCCUUGGCCUCAGAACUGGCUCAACAAUUUUGACUGAGGAGGGAUUAAGACAGAUGCUGGGCACUGACAGCUCCAACAGGCAGUCUGGGUGCUGCUGAGAUACAAGCAAUUGAAACAAAGGCUCUUGAAGUGAGAACAGCUCAGUCACCUUAAAACUAAGUGGCGCUACAACUUCUACACUGUUUGCUCCAACUAACUUGCUGUCAUCCACAUGACCAUUACACUCAACAGCAACAUUCACUACGUCCAAACUCCCAGCUUGAAGAACACUGCAUCUAGUUCUUCUGCAGACCAUGCAGUAAUGUCUAGUGGACACCUACAGACUAACCCAGCCAGAGGAGCUUCUAUCCCCCUUUCCUGAGCUUCUUUGUGGCUGGCUGAGCCUUUGCAAGAGCCGCUCACUCAGGCAGGUAUGAAAACACAGCCCCCAUGUACCAGCCCAGAGUUUUGGGCAGCUUGGCUUUGACCUCUGAAAACACUGCACUUGCGGCAGGGGUGACCAGGUCAGUCUUGCCCCCUUUCAAUCAUUUCUAUCUGUGUGACACUGCAGUUUCACGUAUUUCUCCACCCGGCACCCCUCAGACAUUUUUCUUUAGAGAGAAGGUAAAAUGCUUUCCCAUCGGUUUUCAAAAUGUGAAUGAAGUGAAGCAACAGGCAGAAAGAGAAAAGUGAGUGACCAUGAGUGGAAGCAAUACAGGCGUUGAUUGCAACCAGGCUCUCCAGCCGAAUGAGAAAAUAGCCCCCUCCCCCAUGGAGAUGUUUUCCAAGCUGGAAACUAAGAACUUAAGUACAAAGGCUUUUGUGUUUUUAUUGACAUUGUAAGAAACAUUUUUUUUUCUUUGUUACAAAAGAGCUAAGUGGUCCUGUAAGCAGAAGUACAGUUUAUAUGUACACAAUGCUACAGACCCUUCAGAUCAACCUAAGGCUCGAGAAACAUCAGAUCAUAACUGCAGGUUUAUCAAAUGAAGACCAAUAAGGCCCAUUAUAGCCAAACACUAUUCCUACCAUACGUAAAUGUAUUUACACAUUUUCUUUUUUUUUUUUUUUAAAAAAAGGAUUACAAGCUUUAUAAAAAACUAAAAAAAAACCUAAAAAAAAAAAAAAGGAACACAUAUUUAUCUUACACAUCUGCAGGACUGACAACAGUAACUGUUCCAUAGGAGACAUUCCACCAAUCCAAGGACAAUAACACGUGAAUAUCAGAGGUUUACAAGACAUUUUGGACACUAUUAACAGUGAUAUGUGCUAUUAGCUGAAUGGCGAGUACAGCCUCAUCGGGAAAAUUUGGCAACACAUCUUGGUCCCUCUCUUUUACAGGAUCAACAGAAAAUAAGGCACAUACAUCGUGAGAAUAUACACACUGCUGUGCAGAAGGACGAGCCGUUGCGCAACAGACAUGGGCCAUUUCAUCAAGGGCUUGGGGUGGGAAGCAAUGACUGGGAGCCAGCGAGCCAGCCAGCAUCUUAAUGCAUGUGGCAUUUGGGACCAUUCUCCAAGGAGAGAGUAACAGCCUCUGCCCCAUGAAUGCCGGGGGCCAUCAUACUCACCAGCAGAGCCCCUUUGGAAGCCCACUGACUUCUCUGCAAAUACACCUUUCCUCGGCCAUGGAUGGACUCUCACUGGCAGCUCCCACCUUGUGGAAAGUAAAACUGCCUGGAGAAAUGCGCACCCUUCACGUAGGCUGAGCGAAGCAGACGCGCCCAAGGCCAACAGUAACAAAGCUGGAAGACCCACCCCCGCGUCAUUAGAAGAAAAGGUGAUUUAGACUCAGUCUGUGAUUCUUUUAAAAUAGGGAAUUCACUAUAUUUUCUGCAUUUUUUAAUACUCUAGGGUGUGUGGUGGGUUUCCAACUGCUAUGGCAAUGCCGACUGAUGCACCAGAUAUACAAUAGCAAGUUUGGGCUCUGUAACUGGAAGAGCAGGAGUAGAGAGGUCCCAGGAAACAGGUGGACAACGUUGGUGGGACUUUCCCCAGACUGCCACACAUUGAGAAGGAGAUGGACAAGUGAAGGCUGGUGUCCAGCCUAACAGUGCAUUACUCAGAGAGCCAAGAUAGCUUGGCUACGAUGUAUUGCUACCCUCACAGGUAGCAAAACAGGCUCUUUAGCACUAACCAGAAAAGCACGAGAAUAUACUGAAAGCUGAAAACUGACACAUGAACAAAAAUGGCCCAUACCUUUAAUGGUGAAAAUUAUAAACUAUUUAUGCAUACUCCCCAGCAACAUGGUGGAGUCUCUGGUUCUUCAACAUUGCCAAAUCAAAAUGGGACGCCUUUCUGGAGUAUGUGGUUUGGGCCAAGAUGUUGUUGGCCCAAGACAGGGGUAAAUGAGUGACAAAGGUUUGUCAAAUUCAGGAAGGCAAAUUAGCUACUCAAACAGUCCCUUUUAGCCUUGAGCAAUAUGAAUGGCUCUUUCCAAGUGCUGAUGGAUCACAUCUGUUAAUAGCUUCCCAGCUUCAGUUGGACCAGCAAAUACAAUUAUGAACUGGAAAAUUGAG